AACGGUGGUCUUGUCUGUUGUUGCAGACAUGCAGGUGAAGCUUUGGAUGAAUAAGUACGGCUGGACGGAGGACGAGGAAGGACAGAUCUUCAUCUUCAACCAGGAGGAGAGCGUGAAGCCCAAGAACAUCGUGGAAAAGAUCGACUUUGAGAGUGUAUCCAGCAUCAUGGCCACAUCUCAGUGAUACACACACACACACACACACACACACACACACACACACACACACACACACACACACACACACACA
Long non-coding RNA from Notothenia coriiceps (black rockcod), 250 nucleotides. RefSeq lists it as uncharacterized. The record is from RefSeq and is a predicted model, not a curated record. NCBI's taxonomy places the organism in Eukaryota, Metazoa, Chordata, Actinopteri, Perciformes, Nototheniidae. The transcript has 2 exons.